UAGGAGGCGGGGCAAAAACUUUUUCUAGGCCCGGCCCGAACCUGGCCCGGCCCGGCCCAUGGACAGGUCUAGCCUGGUCUAAACCAAUGGGUCAUGUGACAUAGGCAUCGAAGGUGGGCAUGUGAGUAACAGAUUGCAUCGUUAGGGUUAUACCCAAACCCAAACCCUUUCUCUGUCGGCGAAGAGUCACCAAACAACCGAUCAAACCGGUAAUAGCAUUUUUGAGCAACAUGUCCUAACCGGCCACAUAGUUGACAUUGUGGACGACCACGACCAUGAUAGGAAGCUCGAUCACGGGGUGAAAGAUCUGACGAAUAGGACUCGAUCGAGGAACUCUGUUCUACCGGAGAAGACCCAAACAGAGCAGACUGUUGAAUUAGAUUCGCCUGAACAGGAACCUCAACUACAAAUUGUUUCUGUCGAUUCUCACACUCAAGAAGCAUGCUGGUGAGACGAUCCAACGGAAGAGACUCAGAAGCAUAUGAGGCAAAUGUCAAGACUGAGUCGAACUCCAUUGAAAAACCAACAAAGAUGACGCUCACUUAUUCUUCAUUAAGAACAUCAUGACCGAAAGCACUCAAAAGAUCACAAGUGGCCUUGAUUUUGGCCAAAUACUCCUUCACAGUCAGGUGACCUUUUUUCAGAGAAUGCCACGAGUGCCUUAAGUGAGACACCAUGGUGUUUGACGUCGCCACAAAUAGAAGACAAGCCUUGCUCCAAACAGCAUAAGUCGUGGUGGUGCCUGUAAAGUAAGGUAAGACAUCGGUAAUGAUAGUAGAUAACAAUCAAGAAGCUAGCAAUUUAUCUUGUUGAUGAUGAGUAGCAAAAUCAGGAUUCAAAACCAGCUUCCCUUCUUUAUCAGGGACAACCGGAGGAGGAGUAACCACUGUGUCGGUGAUAAAGUCGGUUAGUCCAUAACCAUCACCAAUAAGACUAACCUGAUGCUUCCACUGAACAAACGUGCUUUUUUGAAGCUUUAUUAUAUCAUGACGAGGAAACGAGUGAAUGGCUCGAAACGCAGUGCCUCCCUACGAGAAACAAGAAGUCAAAAACCACUGAGUAGGGAUCGAAGCUGCAGAAUCCUCAAUCUAGUCCACGAUCCACCCACACCAUACUCAGUCAUCAUCCAAAAAUCAUCGUGCAUCAGAUGGCGGUUAUGAAGCACACAAAGGCAACCAUUAAGAACUCCUACCACGAACACACAUGUAGAACCAACAAUGUCAGGUGAUGGCAUGUCCUAAAAGGGGAUUUGAUAUAAGAGAAAGUCAUUGUUUUAAGACACACUUGUAUUGGCAAAGCGUUUUGACAACUAAUCUUGAAAGGAUUUCCACCAUGAUUUCUUGGGGAAGAAUGGGGAUUUCAGCUCAUUCCCCUACAACUAGUGACUACUGCUGAAAUCUUUGUUCUUUUCUCAUGAUUUUGAUGGAAUAUCAAAGAACAAAGAGUGAUGAAAUGCCUCAAAGAGGAGAGAAAAUGGAUUUGAGCAAUUGUACAUUCUUGAAAAAUGAUAAAUAUUGAAUUUGCAGCUUCGUGUUUUAGAAUUAUUCAUUUUCCGCACAAAACUAAGACCAUG
RNAcentral lists this long non-coding RNA (1573 nucleotides) under Gossypium raimondii (Peruvian cotton). RNAcentral's name for it is "long non-coding RNA (GRAI_LNC004695)". The record is from RNAcentral. Lineage: Eukaryota; Viridiplantae; Streptophyta; Magnoliopsida; Malvales; Malvaceae.